This 330-nucleotide ribosomal RNA is filed under the name uncultured eukaryote. Its description in RNAcentral is "partial 18S ribosomal RNA". It matches the Rfam family "Eukaryotic small subunit ribosomal RNA", at positions 1470 to 1796 of the family's 1831-position model. The record is from RNAcentral.
CCCUUAGAUGUUCUGGGCCGCACGCGCGCUACACUGAUGCAUUCAACGAGUCUAAAACCUGGUCUGAUAGGGCUGGGUAAUCUUUUGAAUGUGCAUCGUGAUUGGGAUAGAUGAUUGCAAUUCUUCAUCUUCAACGAGGAAUGCCUAGUAAACGCAAGUCAUCAGCUUGCAUUGAUUACGUCCCUGCCCUUUGUACACACCGCCCGUCGCUCCUACCGAUUGAAUGUUCCGAUGAAUACCAUGGACUGAGAGUAUGAAUGGGUUCGCCUGUUUCUGCUUCUCGGGAAGUGGAGUAAAUCUUAACAUUUAGAGGAAGGAGAAGUCGUAACA